UUUACAAAAAGACUAGAUGACAGGUAUCCCCCAUCACCCGAACAUAAGUGGGUGCACAACAGUCGUGAAACCUGCUGGGGUAUCACAGUUAAGUAAGGGGAAAAUAGAAGCAACAGUGUAGACACCAGAGGGCACUGAGCAUGCUCAGUACAGUAUCAGAGAGAGCGGAUAUACCCGCCCCCUUCCCAGGAGAUCCCCACGCAUGCGCGAGUUCAGGGGCCAGAUGAGGACCCAGAGGAGAGCUCUGAGCUGGUGUGGUGCUGAAGCUGACGAAAAUCUGCAGCAGAAACGUGGAAGAACUUAGCUAACUCCACCGGUAAGCGAGGCCGAGGUCCAAAGUAAGGUGUGCAUGACUUUGAAUUCUUACACUGGGUCGCCAGGACUCCAUUGCCCACAAAGGACAUCAACUAUACAGAGUGGAAUGAAAAGAGUGUUCCAGAACUCUCUUGGAGGACUCUUUUACUAAAGAACCAGCUUCAGAAAUCAAGGAAGCAAAGCCUCUGAGUUGAGCCUUGGAAUGACUGUAAUCCAGAUGGGCACCUUGAUUGCUGCCUGUGGAAGACCCUGGCCAGAGGACCUAAAUAAGUUACAUAGGACUCCUGACUUCUAGAAGUUGGGAUGAUAAAUGCUGGUUGGGGAUGGGAACAUUGCAACAUAUGUAUCCUUCUGGAGAGGAAAAGCAUUACCUAUCAGUCUGAAGAGGAGCACUGUUUAAGGAGCCAAAAGGUGUGCUUUUAGAGAUAUCUCUUCCCAGGCAAUGAUUCACACUACCACUUCCUCCACAUUACUCAGAGAGAGAGAGCAAAAAGAGUUUGGGCAGCUGUUGCAUCUGUGACUUUUGCUGAAGUAAGCUUGCAUGGUUCCAUGCAGCAAGUUGGCCCCUUGGAAAGGACCAUGUGUAAGGAACUAUGAGUGCUCUUUGGCCAACCACCAGUGAGAAACUGAGGCCCUCAGUCCACAGCUUGCAGAGAACAGAUCCUUCCAACAACCAUGUGAACUUAGAAGUGGGUCUCUCUCCCCAGUUAAUCCUAGAUGAUUACAUCCCAAAUGAGCCCAAGAUUGCAGCCCAUAGCAGACCCUUAAACACAGCGCCGAGCAAAGCCAUGCCUGGAUCUUGACCUGAGAUACUUACAUAAUGUGUGUAUUAACAAGGGUAUGGUGACACCCAUAAAUAAUGGGAGGGGGGGUUUACAAAUGUUAAGACCAUGGAUUUUUUUAAUUCUCCAUGUCUUCAUUCAUGUUCAACAAUAAAACAUAGAACUGUAUCAUCUGGACUAUGGUAUUACUGGCAGCAAAAGGGUGUACUUCUGUGUCUCUGAAGAGCACACUUCAUAAAUUUUUAUAAGUAGUUUUGUAAAUGCAAAGCAUGUGCAAAGCUAAAAUGUUCAAGUUCUUAUUUUUCAAACUGGCAGAAGACCAGUCAAAUUAAGGCUCUAAAUGGAAACCUCAGAAAUUAAGACAGGGGUUAGCCGUCGUAUUUUAAUGCAUUCUUGCUACCAUUUUUUUCAACUGUAAAACCAUUCCUAAUACUUGAGCUUACAGAGAAGAUCUUUGGCACUGUGGCCAGAAACAUAAAAUCUAAAACAACAACACAAACAAAAUGAAGUAUGGCCAAACCAAAUCAAAUUACCUUAUUCUGCCAAGUGCAAAAAUCGAUACCUUCCUUAUUGUGAAAAUACCUCAUUAAUGAAUAUUUCUAUGAUUUUGCAUUUUGUUAAAGAAACAUUAAGUAGAUAAGGGAUCAGAGUUCCUCAUUGGAAGAAAUAGAAAUGCUGAGAGAAAAUGUAUAAGAACAAUUCCUUUGUGACACUGGAGUUCUAACAAGGCAAGAAGAAUUAAAGGACCAAAAACCAGGAAGAGAUAGAAACACCAAGAAGUAAACCCAAUAUUUGAGGCUGCUUUUCUCCUAGGCUUAGAGGCAUCAAUAGAUUCUCUUAGAGACAAACUGAGCAGAACUUUUGAUAAAUUAACAAUUCUGAGGAACAGAAAUUCAUCUAUGGUGGCCAAAUCAGAAGCCCUAGAAAACCUCUAUCACUUGAAUUAGGAACUCCAGAGGGCUAUACCACAGAAGAAAAAGUAAACCAGAACUGGAGAUUUCCCAGCGGAGGUUGACACUCAAAUUUGAACUCUCUCAAUCAGUAACUGGACUAAGGUGAUCACCAAUUGACAGUACCCCAGCCACUGGUCUAAAUCAAACAGAAACCCUUAGAGAUUCACUUUUGGGUAAGAGGGAGCAUUUCAAUGCAGA
Molecule: non-coding RNA, 2248 nt
Organism: Sus scrofa (pig)
Lineage: Eukaryota; Metazoa; Chordata; Mammalia; Artiodactyla; Suidae
Source: RefSeq, a predicted model, not a curated record